RNAcentral lists this long non-coding RNA (675 nucleotides) under Saimiri boliviensis boliviensis (Bolivian squirrel monkey). RNAcentral's name for it is "lncRNA (ENSSBOG00000036608.1)". Lineage: Eukaryota; Metazoa; Chordata; Mammalia; Primates; Cebidae. The record is from RNAcentral.
GUCUCAGUCAGCCAAUUCGGCCUCCUGGGCGGCUGCGCGCUCAACCCCCUCCCUCCGUGCCCGUGCAUAGCUUGCUCCCUCUGCCCGCCUCAUUUUGGGGCGGUUGGGCUGCGCCCGUGGGGUAGGGUCCGGAACAAGCGACGGAGCCAAUGAGGCGCGGCGGCUGCAUCAGGCCGACUGCCAGCAGCGGCUGAGGUGGAGGCGGAAGGAGGCGGAAGGAGGCGGAAGGAGGCGGUGGCGGCGGAGGGGCAAGAUGGCGGCGCCCGUCCAGUUCUUCUGAGAGUGUUGGUGCUGUGGUGGUAGCGGGUGGCCCAGUAUGCCGUGUGCGCAGCCCGGAUCCUGGAGUGGGAGUAGGAGCGGGACCCCGAGCACCCGGCCCUCUGCGACCUGCGGCCCUGGCUGAGGUUGAUCAUCCGGGACUACCACCAGCCCCUGGAGAGCAGUGGCCUCUGGUCCUUAAACAAGGAGGACAUGUCGGAACAAGUCAUGCCUGUUUUGGUAAAGAAGUGGACGAAGAAAUGCACCAAGUCAAGGAAGGGUCACGGGCAUCAGCAGUCCAGGGAAGGAAGCAAAGCAAAUGGAGAAUGGCAUGUUGGUGACAGACAGUAUGGGGAAGCAACUACAGAGGUAAGUUGGGGGAGGUAGUGUGACUCAUACAGGCCUCAUGAUUUCACC